RNAcentral lists this ribosomal RNA (790 nucleotides) under uncultured bacterium. RNAcentral's name for it is "bacterial SSU rRNA". It matches the Rfam family "Bacterial small subunit ribosomal RNA", at positions 71 to 859 of the family's 1533-position model. The record is from RNAcentral.
GGUCUGUAGCAAUACAGAUGCUGGCGACCGGCAAACGGGUGCGGAACACGUACAGAACCUUCCUUCGAGCGGGGAAUAGCCCAGGGAAAUUUGGAUUAAUACCCCAUAGUAUAUUGGAGUGGCAUCACUUUGAUAUUAAAGAUUUAUCACUUGAAGAUGGCUGUGCGGCUGAUUAGAUAGUUGGCGGGGUAACGGCCCACCAAGUCUGCGAUCAGUAACUGGUGUGAGAGCACGACCAGUCACACGGGCACUGAGACACGGGCCCGACUCCUACGGGAGGCAGCAGUAAGGAAUAUUGGUCAAUGGACGAAAGUCUGAACCAGCCAUGCCGCGUGGAGGAUGAAGGUCCUCUGGAUUGUAUACUUCUUUUAUAUGGGACGAAAAAAGGGUUUUCUAACUCGUCUGACGGUACCAUAUGAAUAAGCACCGGCUAACUCCGUGCCAGCAGCCGCGGUAAUACGGAGGGUGCAAGCGUUAUCCGGAUUCACUGGGUUUAAAGGGUGCGUAGGUGGGUUGGUAAGUCAGUGGUGAAAUCCCCGAGCUUAACUUGGGAACUGCCAUUGAUACUAUCAGUCUUGAAUACCGUGGAGGUCAGCGGAAUAUGUCAUGUAGCGGUGAAAUGCUUAGAUAUGACAUAGAACACCAAUUGCGAAGGCAGCUGGCUACACGAAUAUUGACACUGAGGCACGAAAGCGUGGGGAUCAAACAGGAUUAGAUACCCUGGUAGUCCACGCCCUAAACUAUGGAUACUCGACAUACGCGAUACACAGUGUGUGUCUGAGCGAAAGCA